GAGGAAACUAGGAAAAGCAGCAAACCAGAUGGAGAAGGAAGGCCAAAAAGAUAAGUAGAAAGCUGGGGCCCAGCAUGACCUUCUCCUGGAUUCCUCAUCUUCCUUCUGUGACCUGUGUCUCCAUCAGUUUCUCCUCCGGCAUCUUUUUCUUACAGGAUUCUUACCUCAGAUAUCCUGUUUCUACUUAAAGAGUUAUUACCGUUGUCAAGCUGGGCAUGGUGGCUCACGCCUGUAAUCCCAGCACUUUGGGAGGCCGAAGUGGGCAGAUCACGAGGUCAGGAGAUCGAGACCACGCUGAAACCCCGUCUGUACUAAAAAUACAAAAAAUUAGCCGGGCGUGGUGGCGGGUGCCUGUAGUUCCAUCUACUCGGGAGGCUGAGGCAGGAGAAUGUCUUGAACCCGGGAGGCGGAGCUUGCAGUGAUCCGAGAUCGCCCACUGCACUCCAGCCUGGGCGACAGAGCCAGACUCCAUCUCAAAAAAAAAAAAAGAGUUAUUACCAUUGACCAUGAACAACACAGGUUUGAAUUGCAUGGGUCCACUAAUAUGUGGAUUUUUUUCAAUCACAGAUAAAAAAUACAGUAUUCAGAGGUUGCGAAACCCACAUAUAUGAAGGGUGGGACAUCAGUAUGUGUGGAUUUGGGUAUGGGGGGCUCCUGGAACCAAUCCCCUACAUCUGUUGAGGGAGGAUUGUAUUUAAUGGAUACAGUUUCAGCUGGGGAAGACAAAAAGUGUUCUGGAUGAGCCUGGUCAUGGUGGCUUAUGCCUGUAAUCCCACCAUUUUGGGAGGCCGAGGUGGGAGGAUUACUCGAGCACAGGAGCUCAAGACCAGCUUGGGCAACAUGGCAAAACUCCAUCUCUACCAAAAAUACAAAAAUUAGCCAGGUAUAGUGGUGUGUGUCUGUGGUCCCAGCUACUUGGGAGGCUGAGGUGGGAGGAUUGUUUGAGCCCAGGAGGUAGAGGUUGCAGUGAGACAAGAUGGUGCCAUUGCACUCCAGCCUGGGUGAUAGAGCAAGACCCUGUCUAAAAAAAAAAAAAAAAAAAGAGUUCUGGAUGGAUUCACAACAAUGUGAAUGUACUUAAUGUGAGUGUACUGAACUGGACAUGUAAAAAUUGUUAAAAUGAUAAUUUUUAUUAUAUGUAUGUUGUCACAAUUAAAAAAAAAAACAACUUGUAGAUUAGGCACCAUUUUGGAGAAUGGGUUCGGGGGAGCCUCCAGUCGAACUUCCCCACUGCAGUGCAGCUGGAAACUCAGUAACUGGUUCUCUGACACCUCCCCGCCACUCCCACCCCAGUGCCACAUAUCCCCAUCUCCAUGCCCCACUCCAGUCCAGAGCCAUCUAUCGCCUGGGCUACUGCAAUAACUGGCUAGCUUCCCGCCACACCACUUCAAACCAUACGUGGCUGCCUAAAACCUUUCCCUGGCUUCCCAUUGCUUUUAGCCUGUGAGUUGAAGUCCUUGCCAGGCAAGAUCUGCCCCUGCCUUCCUGUCCACCCUCAUCUAGAGCCAACCUCGUCCUUGCUUUCUGCACCCCAACCACACCCCAACAGUUUUGCAGAUCUUCAGACCCACUAAAACAUGUUCUGCCUCAGGGCCUUUGCACAAUGCUCCCAUUGCCUGGGACUCUGUCCUUCUUCUUUACUGGGUCAGCUCCCUCCAUUUUGGUCUCAAGAGAGGUCCCCCCUGCAGAUUAGCUCUGGUGCAAGGAGCACUCUUCCAUAGCAUCUUCUCUUUUCCUCAUGGCAUCUCACCUAAUACAUACACUCACACACACAUUUAUGUGUGUGUGUGUAUAUGUGUGUGUAUAUAUAUAAAACAUAUAUUUUAUAUAUAAAAUAUAUGUUUUAUAUAUAUAAAAUAUAUUUUAUAUA
This 1870-nucleotide long non-coding RNA is filed under the name Homo sapiens (human). Its description in RNAcentral is "non-protein coding lnc-FOLR3-1:1". Lineage: Eukaryota; Metazoa; Chordata; Mammalia; Primates; Hominidae. The record is from RNAcentral.